AUCAUUAGUCGUUUCGUUCUAUGGCCCGCACACACCCAAAGCGGGAGGAAUAAGGUAAAAUCGAACCCAAGCUCAAAAAAAUCAAAGCCAAGGAGAUCAUAAAAAAUGACAAAAAGAGCAGACAGGUAAUACAAACAUUAAAAAAAUGACAUUAAGAGCAUUGUGGUGCACUUAAAGUCUUGUUCAAAUCAAACGAAGUAACGAUAUACAACCCAUCAUUUAUGAUUUUAAUAUGGUGCAUUGACAAUGUCGUGCUUGGAUCGUAAUUUUUUUACCGGAGUGCAGAUAGAUUCCCGAGUUGGUCUACGCAGCGAUGAUUUGUCCACCAUAGCUACGUCGUCAGGUAGAGCCACAAUCAGACUACGAUCGGUUCCAAACCUAAAGUCUUCAGCUUGAACAUUGGCAUCGUAUCUUCGAAUCUUAUAACUAUCCGUAAAUCCUCGUUUAACACGAUCCAAGUUCCAGCUGAUCAAAAAUGGGCCUAUACUGGAUACAAUAGUUGUUUCCUUUGCGUCAAUUCCGGUAUUGAAUUUAGCUGGUGUAAAGGAUGCACCUCCCUUGAGCUCUCUCUGCAUCAUCGCUAUAUGUUGUGGACUUAGCUGUAGUCGUUUAGGUUUUGGCUUUUUAUCUUUGGCGAAAUUACGCUCAAAACCCAAACGACCGGCAUAUCGACCCUCUUUGAUACGGGUGUCAAUCAACAAAAUAUAUGUUUUACAGGUAGCUAGCACAAAAUCACCAGACGCUGUGACAUCCACCCCGAUAAUCGCCUCACCAAGCGCUGGUAAAGCAGUCUUUGCGUUCACACCAAUACGAUCAAAUAGACGGAUGUCACCUUUGUUACUAGCAACUGCUAUAUAACCGUUUUCAGUUGUAGCAGCAGAACUAAAGUCAUUCUUAGUAGCAUACUGCUUGAACUGUUCAGCAACCAGUUUAUUGCCCUCCACACGAGGAUCAAUUCGGAAGAUGGAAUUGUUUGAAAGACCAAUCAAGGUUUGUUCAGCUGUCAUUUGUGCGAAUUUGUUGUCUGGUGUAAAUGUAACGAGAGGAACAUCAUCGUGGACUUUCCACUCGUCAACGAUCUUUCCAUAUUCAAUAUCCAUAUGAUACAGACUAUGUGGCGCAUUUUCAGUUUGGAAUAAAAUCGAAGAAUCUUGAUUGUGUAACAUCAGCUUGCUAGGUCGGAGUGAUUUGCCCUUAGGCGUUGAAAGAUUGUUCAAAGCGGUUUGGAAUUUUAACCCUUUUUCGUCGACAUGCUUAAAAACGCCAAUUUUGUUGUUUCGGACGACGUAAGAUCUAUCGUUUUUAUAUCCUACCGCUAACAAACUGUUAUGCUCUUUAGCAGCUUCCUUUCGCCAUCUUGAUUCAUCCAAAUCAUCAGCCUCACCGUCACUAAAAUCUGCAAACGAAUCUUCGAAAUCGCUGGCUUCCUCAUCCUCCUCUUCCUCUUCCUCCUUCCUGCUUAACAACUGUUGACGAGCAAACUCCUCGUCUUCACUAUCUUCUAAUUCUUCAUCUUCAUGAAAGGUUUCCAUAACAUAAUCACGCUGUUCAUCAUCAAUUUUGAGCCAACGCUGUUGGUUGAGACUUUCCCAAAGUGCACGCAUUAGCAGUUCCUGAAAUUGCUCCAUGCGAACUUGCGAAUCGAAUCGUAACAACCAUGAAAAGGCAUUACUAUUGGCGUCAAAAUAAUUCCAAAUAAACGAAAGAUGUUCAAAAGAAAAUACUGGAUUCAUGUCUGCAUCUACAGACUGGCUUAACCAUGUCUUCUCUUCAGUGCUUAUAGUAAACCAAUAAUUCCAAUCUCCCAAGUCAAAUACGCUCGCUUCCACAUUUGGAUCUUGUAAAAUAAAAACCUCCUCAACUGCAUCGAAUAAAUGUAAUUCAGCACUUAUUGUUCCCAUUAGCUCGCCCUCUAGGCUCUUGAUAUUUUCAGUUUUGGUGACCUCUUCUUUUUCCGGAUUAACAAUCGAGGUUUGCUGUUGAACUAGAGGCUCUUCAGCUUCCUGUUGUCCUAAAAGAUAUUUUUUUGCAAUCUCAUCAUCCAAUUGCUCUUGCUUUUUUAAACGCAUCAAGUCUUCGGACUCCAAAUCCAACUUGGUGACAAUAUUUUCUAAACUGUCCACUUCCUUUGAUGGUCGAGUAAUGGGAUUGCUAAAUUGCUCCAAGUCGGCAAGCGUAGCCUUUUCGUGAGAUUGUCGGUAUUUGCGUUCGUACAUACACUGCAAAGCUACCAUUUCAAAGGUAUAAGCAACGCCUUCUUGUAAACAAUUCUCACACGUAAACUCGUACAACGUGCCAUCUUGAAAGUCUGGGUUAUCCCACAUUAUCGUGAUGCUGUCUUUAUUUACGUCAAAUCUCAAGUGCAAUUUUUCGUCUAGUAAAAACGACUGUUCGUCCUCAGCUUCGUCUCCAUCAUCUUCUAGCUCUUCUUCUCCUUCUUCGUAUGCUCUUUGUAUGACAAGCUGAUACUGAAAUUCCGCCGUUGUUCGUCGAAUUGACGCACUUGCAUCCUUGAACCUAUACAAUCGUUAGCUGUACGAACCCAAUACAAAUAUUAAUGAUUUAUCUCAUUCCGUUCAAACUUACAUGCACUCCCUGUAAUUUUCAUGCACCGAAUACAGCUGCCCAUAAGGGAUUUGAACAAUUUCGGUCGAAUUCGUGUUACCCCAUAUGUACUUCCUAGAUCUUAAGUUAGUAUUGUUAUUUCAUCAAUUGCGACUUUAGCACUUACCCCAAUGAUUUUAGCAUAAACA
Schizosaccharomyces pombe (fission yeast) is the source of this 2753-nucleotide non-coding RNA. The record is from the annotation of a GenBank genome assembly. Lineage: Eukaryota; Fungi; Ascomycota; Schizosaccharomycetes; Schizosaccharomycetales; Schizosaccharomycetaceae.